UCGAACGGCAGCACGGGAGCAAUACCUGGUGGCGAGUGGCGAACGGGUGAGUAAUNUAUGGAACCGUGCCCGGUCGUGGGGGAUAACGUAGCGAAAGCUACGCUAAUACCGCAUACGAUCUACGGAUGAAANCGGGGGAUCGCAAGACCUCGCGCGAUUGGAGCGGCCGAUAUCAGAUUAGGUAGUUGGUGAGGUAAAGGCUCACCAAGCCGACGAUCUGUAGCUGGUCUGAGAGGACGACCAGCCACACUGGGACUGAGACACGGCCCAGACUCCUACGGGAGGCAGCAGUGGGGAAUUUUGGACAAUGGGCGCAAGCCUGAUCCAGCAAUGCCGCGUGCAGGAUGAAGGCCUUCGGGUUGUAAACUGCUUUUGUACGGAACGAAACGGUGAGCUCUAAUACAGUUUGCUAAUGACGGUACCGUAAGAAUAAGCACCGGCUAACUACGUG
Molecule: ribosomal RNA, 451 nt
Filed under: uncultured bacterium
Lineage: Bacteria
Description: bacterial SSU rRNA
Rfam family: Bacterial small subunit ribosomal RNA
Source: RNAcentral